UACGUAGGGGGCUAGCGUUGUCCGGAAUCAUUGGGCGUAAAGCGCGUGUAGGCGGUCCGGUAAGUCCGCUGUGAAAGUCGAGGGCUCAACCCUCGAAUGCCGGUGGAUACUGUCGGGCUAGAGUGCGGAAGAGGCGAGUGGAAUUCCUGGUGUAGCGGUGAAAUGCGCAGAUAUCAGGAGGAACACCGGUGGCGAAGGCGGCAUCUUGGACCAACACUGACGCUGAGUGAGCGAAAGCCAGGGGAGCAAACGGG
RNAcentral lists this ribosomal RNA (254 nucleotides) under uncultured bacterium. RNAcentral describes it as "partial 16S ribosomal RNA". It matches the Rfam family "Bacterial small subunit ribosomal RNA", at positions 524 to 776 of the family's 1533-position model. The record is from RNAcentral.